GUAGAGGAAGGACAUCAGUAAUAGAUGGUUGAGGGUAGAGGAAGGACAUCAGUAAUAGAUGGGAGGGGUUGAGGGUAGAGGAAGGACAUCAGUAAUAGAUAGGAGAGGUUGAGGGUAGAGGAAGGACAUCAGUAAUAGAUGGGAGAGGUUGAGGGUAGAGGAAGGACAUCAGUAAUAGAUGGGAGAGGUUGAGGGGAGAGGAAGGACAUCAGUAAUAGAUGGUUGAGGGUAGAGGAAGGACAUCAGAAAUAGAUGGGAGAGGUUGAGGGUAGAGGAAGGACAUCAGUAAUAGAUGGUUGAGGUUGAGGCUAGAGGAAGGACAUCAGAAAUAGAUGGUUGAGGUUGAGGCUAGAGGAAGGACAUCAGUAAUAGAUGGUUGAGGGUAGAGGAAGGACAUCAGUAAUAGAUGGUUGAGGAUAGAGGAAGGACAUCAGUAAUAGAUGGUUGAGGGUAGAGGAAGGACAUCAGUAAUAGAUGGUUGAGGGUAGAGGAAGGACAUCAGUAAUAGAUGGUUGAGGGUAGAGGAAGGACAUCAGUAAUAGAUGGUUGAGGGUAGAGGAAGGACAUCAGUAAUAGAUGAGAGAG
Oncorhynchus tshawytscha (Chinook salmon) is the source of this 585-nucleotide long non-coding RNA. Lineage: Eukaryota; Metazoa; Chordata; Actinopteri; Salmoniformes; Salmonidae. The record is from Ensembl.